UACGUAGGGGGCAAGCGUUGUCCGGAAUUAUUGGGCGUAAAGCGCUCGCAGGCGGUCUUUUAAGUCUGAUGUGAAAGCCCACGGCUCAACCGUGGAGGGUCAUUGGAAACUGGAGGACUUGAGUACAGAAGAGGAGAGUGGAAUUCCACGUGUAGCGGUGAAAUGCGUAGAGAUGUGGAGGAACACCAGUGGCGAAGGCGACUCUCUGGUCUGUAACUGACGCUGAGGAGCGAAAGCGUGGGGAGCGAACAGG
This 253-nucleotide ribosomal RNA is filed under the name uncultured bacterium. RNAcentral describes it as "partial 16S ribosomal RNA". It matches the Rfam family "Bacterial small subunit ribosomal RNA", at positions 524 to 776 of the family's 1533-position model. The record is from RNAcentral.